This 460-nucleotide ribosomal RNA is filed under the name uncultured bacterium. Its description in RNAcentral is "partial 16S ribosomal RNA". It matches the Rfam family "Bacterial small subunit ribosomal RNA", at positions 338 to 795 of the family's 1533-position model. The record is from RNAcentral.
CCUACGGGUGGCUGCAGUGAGGAAUAUUGGUCAAUGGGCGGGAGCCUGAACCAGCCAAGUCGCGUGAGGGAAGACGGUCCUAUGGAUUGUAAACCUCUUUAGGCGGGGAGCAAUGCCGGGCACGCGUGCCCGGAGGGAGAGUACCCGCAGAAUAAGCAUCGGCUAACUCCGUGCCAGCAGCCGCGGUAAUACGGAGGAUGCGAGCGUUAUCCGGAUUUAUUGGGUUUAAAGGGUGCGUAGGCGGAUUUUUAAGUCAGCGGUAAAAUGUCCGGGCUCAACCCGGGCCGGCCGUUGAAACUGGGGAUCUUGAGUGGGCGAGAAGUAUGCGGAAUGCGUGGUGUAGCGGUGAAAUGCAUAGAUAUUAGGAAGAACACCAGUGGCGAAGGCGACUUUCUGGACAGUAACUGACGUUGAGGCACGAAAGUGUGGGGAGUAAACAGGAUUAGAUACCCUGGUAGUC